AGGUGAGGUAGAGGUUGCGGGCUAUUAAGAUUACUUGAGGAGAAACUGGGAGAGUUGAUGACCCUUAAGGAAAGGAAUACCUGCCGAAGCAAUUUGAUUUUCUCGGUUAAAUUGCUGGGGUUGCAUUAAAUAAAUGCAGCACUGUCACAGACAAUAUUCCUUCAUGUUAUCUGUGGAGCACUAUCUUACUA
This 191-nucleotide non-coding RNA is filed under the name Desulforamulus reducens. Its description in RNAcentral is "Desulfotomaculum reducens Lysine sequence". It matches the Rfam family "Lysine riboswitch aptamer". From Rfam's summary of the family: Riboswitches are metabolite binding domains within certain messenger RNAs that serve as precision sensors for their corresponding targets. Allosteric rearrangement of mRNA structure is mediated by ligand binding, and this results in modulation of gene expression. The record is from RNAcentral. RNAcentral also lists the same sequence under 1 other name. Lineage: Bacteria; Bacillati; Bacillota; Clostridia; Eubacteriales; Peptococcaceae.